RNAcentral lists this ribosomal RNA (255 nucleotides) under Rhodococcus erythropolis. RNAcentral describes it as "partial 23S ribosomal RNA". It matches the Rfam family "Bacterial large subunit ribosomal RNA", at positions 1630 to 1869 of the family's 2925-position model. The record is from RNAcentral. Lineage: Bacteria; Bacillati; Actinomycetota; Actinomycetes; Mycobacteriales; Nocardiaceae. RNAcentral also lists the same sequence under 2 other names.
CUUUCACACGGCCCGUACCCCAAACCGACACAGGUGGUCAGGUAGAGAAUACUAAGGCGAUCGAGAUAACUAUGGUUAAGGAACUCGGCAAAAUGCCCCCGUAACUUCGGGAGAAGGGGGGCCCUGUUUGGUGACGACAUUUACUGUCUGAGCUGGGUGGGGCCGCAGAGACCAGUGAGAAGCGACUGUUUACUAAAAACACAGGUCCGUGCGAAGUCGUAAGACGAUGUAUACGGACUGACGCCUGCCCGGUGC